RNAcentral lists this ribosomal RNA (468 nucleotides) under uncultured bacterium. Its description in RNAcentral is "partial 16S ribosomal RNA". It matches the Rfam family "Bacterial small subunit ribosomal RNA", at positions 28 to 507 of the family's 1533-position model. The record is from RNAcentral.
GACGAACGCUGGCGGCGUGCUUAACACAUGCAAGUCGAACGGAAAGGCCCUGCUUUUGUGGGGUGCUCGAGUGGCGAACGGGUGAGUAACACGUGAGUAACCUGCCCUUGACUUUGGGAUAACUUCAGGAAACUGGGGCUAAUACCGGAUAGGAGCUCCUGCUGCAUGGUGGGGGUUGGAAAGUUUCGGCGGUUGGGGAUGGACUCGCGGCUUAUCAGCUUGUUGGUGGGGUAGUGGCUUACCAAGGCUUUGACGGGUAGCCGGCCUGAGAGGGUGACCGGCCACAUUGGGACUGAGAUACGGCCCAGACUCCUACGGGAGGCAGUAGUGGGGAAUAUUGCACAAUGGGCGGAAGCCUGAUGCAGCAACGCCGCGUGCGGGAUGGCGGCCUUCGGGUUGUAAACCGCUUUCGCCUGUGACGAAGCGUGAGUGACGGUAAUGGGUAAAGAAGCACCGGCUAACUACGUG